UGGAUCCAGACUUUGAUUAUGGCUCAGGAUGAACGCUAGCUACAGGCUUAACACAUGCAAGUCGAGGGGAAACGACAUCGAAAGCUUGCUUUUGAUGGGCGUCGACCGGCGCACGGGUGAGUAACGCGUAUCCAACCUGCCCACCACUUGGGGAUAACCUUGCGAAAGUAAGACUAAUACCCAAUGAUAUCUCUAGAAGACAUCUGAAAGGGAUUAAAGAUUUAUCGGUGAUGGAUGGGGAUGCGUCUGAUUAGCUUGUUGGCGGGGUAACGGCCCACCAAGGCGACGAUCAGUAGGGGUUCUGAGAGGAAGGUCCCCCACAUUGGAACUGAGACACGGUCCAAACUCCUACGGGAGGCAGCAGUGAGGAAUAUUGGUCAAUGGGCGAGAGCCUGAACCAGCCAAGUAGCGUGCAGGAUGACGGCCCUAUGGGUUGUAAACUGCUUUUAUAAGGGAAUAAAGUGAGAGUCGUGACUCUUUUUGCAUGUACCUUAUGAAUAAGGACCGGCUAAUUCCGUGCCAGCAGCCGCGGUAAUACGGAAGGUCCGGGCGUUAUCCGGAUUUAUUGGGUUUAAAGGGAGCGUAGGCCGGAGAUUAAGCGUGUUGUGAAAUGUAGAUGCUCAACAUCUGCACUGCAGCGCGAACUGGUUUCCUUGAGUACGCACAAAGUGGGCGGAAUUCGUGGUGUAGCGGUGAAAUGCUUAGAUAUCGCGAAGAACUCCGAUUGCGAAGGCAGCUCACUGGAGCGCAACUGACACUGAAGCUCGAAAGUGCGGGUAUCGAACAGGAUUAGAUACCCUGGUAGUCCGCACGGUAAACGAUGGAUGCCCGCUGUUGGUCUGAAUAGGUCAGCGGCCAAGCGAAAGCAUUAAGCAUCCCACCUGGGGAGUACGCCGGCAACGGUGCAACUCAAAGGAAUUGACGGA
This 926-nucleotide ribosomal RNA is filed under the name uncultured Bacteroidota bacterium. RNAcentral describes it as "bacterial SSU rRNA". It matches the Rfam family "Bacterial small subunit ribosomal RNA", at positions 1 to 917 of the family's 1533-position model. The record is from RNAcentral. Lineage: Bacteria; Pseudomonadati; Bacteroidota.